UACGUAGGGGCCGAGCGUUGUCCGGAGUUAUCGGGCGUAAAGCGCGCGCAGGCGGCCUCGCGCGCCCGACGUGAAAGCCCCCGGCUCAACUGGGGAGGGUCACGCGAUACUGAUCGACUCGAAGGCAGGAGAGGGAAGUGGAAUUCCCGGUGUAGUGGUGAAAUGCGUAGAUAUCGGGAGGAACACCAGUGGCGAAGGCGACUUCCUGGCCUGUUCUUGACGCUGAGGCGCGAAAGCUAGGGGAGCAAACGGG
This 253-nucleotide ribosomal RNA is filed under the name uncultured bacterium. RNAcentral's name for it is "partial 16S ribosomal RNA". It matches the Rfam family "Bacterial small subunit ribosomal RNA", at positions 524 to 776 of the family's 1533-position model. The record is from RNAcentral.